GCAUUUAGUGGGCGAAUGUGACUUGUAUCGAUUGGAGGAAACAAUUCAGCAUCGAAGGAAUAACGACUGAAAUAUUGGAGUGUCAAAAUGACAAAACGAAAACCUGCAAAACGAUGGAGAAGAACCGGUAAAGAAGUCGACUCAAAUAAACGAUCAAGAAUGACUGUACAAUUGCCACCAAUGUGAAUGUGGAGACUGAUGAGCAAUGUCUAAAAGGUAGCAGCAGGGGAACAGAAGGAGCCCAAAACACUGCUCUUCAUAUGGAACACAUCCAACCUCCAGGUGUCCAUGCAGGAUGUACCACUCUGGAACACCAAGCCUCUCCCUACCAGCCAGCACAUGAAAAUAUUUCUACUUUUGACUCUAUCAAAGACAAUGGAAAACCAUUUUCCAGAUCAGCCCUCAUAGAUCCUCCUGAUGGCCUAACAACUGAACUACAUGUCGAUGCUGAGUAUGAUCCAUC
Nerophis lumbriciformis (worm pipefish) is the source of this 463-nucleotide long non-coding RNA. RefSeq lists it as uncharacterized. Lineage: Eukaryota; Metazoa; Chordata; Actinopteri; Syngnathiformes; Syngnathidae. The record is from RefSeq and is a predicted model, not a curated record.